This 492-nucleotide ribosomal RNA is filed under the name uncultured bacterium. Its description in RNAcentral is "partial 16S ribosomal RNA". It matches the Rfam family "Bacterial small subunit ribosomal RNA", at positions 29 to 507 of the family's 1533-position model. The record is from RNAcentral.
AGUGAACGCUGGCGGUAGGCCUAACACAUGCAAGUCGAACGGCCGCACAGUAAGAGCUUGCCCUUGCGGUUGGCGAGUGGCGGACGGGUGAGGAGUACAUCGGAAUCUACUUUUUCGUGGGGGAUAACGUAGGGAAACUUACGCUAAUAGAGCAUACGACCUACGGGUGAAUGCAAGGGAUCUUCGGAGCUUGCGUGAUUCUAUGAGCCGAUGUCGGAUUAGCUAGUUGGGGGGGUAAGGGCCCACCAAGGCAACGAUCCGUAGCUGAGCUGAGAGGAUGAUCAGCCACACUGGAACUGAGACACGGUCCAGACUCCUACGGGAGGCAGCAGUAGGGAAUCUUCCGCAAUGGGCGAAAGCCUGAUGCAGCAACGCCGCGUGGGUGAAGAAGGCCUUCGGGUCGUAAAACUCUUUUGUUAGGGAAGAACAGAUGCGUAUGUAACCCCCCCUGUCUUGACGGUACCCAAUCAGAAAGCACCGGCUAACUACGUG